Long non-coding RNA from Denticeps clupeoides (denticle herring), 7858 nucleotides. NCBI's taxonomy places the organism in Eukaryota, Metazoa, Chordata, Actinopteri, Clupeiformes, Denticipitidae. The record is from Ensembl.
AUGCAGACUGAAGCAGAUGCUGGAGGUGACAACGUGCUGGAGCCAUAUGCUGUGGGCGCAGAAGUGGAAUUACGACCGGAUGAAGCGGUCCAGCGUCAGCCAGCUUCAACUACAGAUGGAUUUCCCCCUUUGUAUAAUAAUGUAGAUUACCGGUGUCCUGUGAGUUCAAGUGAUGAUGACAGCAGCUCCGAAGAUCAUUGGUUCAAAUUUCAUAGACAUACACAGGGCUGUGUGUGCUGGGAAUGUGGACAGCACUUCAACAACAUGCGCAACCUAGUGGACCACUUCCACGGACAUACAUCUGAUCGACGUUGUCACCUCUGCGGUGUGACUUUUAAGUGGAUGAUUUCUCUCGCCAUGCACUUGGACAAUGCACACCAAAACAUCUCUCUAUCCUGCUGCAAGCCCAACUGUGAAACUCUGAGUCAAAACUGGUGGCACCUUAACAAGCAUCUGGGGAAGCACCACAGGGCAAAUGAUGGUUAUUCCUCAGAAAAAAUUGUUUCAUCUCAGGAAAACUCUGAAGAGGUUUUACAGGCAACCAUUGAUGGGAAUACUGAAAUUAAACUGGAGCAAGAGAAGGAGACUGGAAUUGAUACAUCAGGAUAUCCUAAACCAACAUCUUUAAAUGAGGAUCAUACGUAUCAUCAAUCAGAAAGCAUCCAGCAUGACAUAAAAACUGAACCACCUGUGGCCCAGAUUGACCGUAACAAUUGCAAGCUCACGUACAAUGGCAAGGAAAUGACAACUGCUUAUGCCUUGCGUGUUCGACACACCAAAAGCAUCACAACCAUCUUCCCACGAGAAGCUCUACCAGCGGUGGCACACCAGAAAAAAAUCCAAGUUUUUGUGCUGCGCUCUGCUCAACAGGACAACACUGAAGCAGAAGCUGCUGGAAGCAGAAGCUGCAUACUGAAGGGAAUGCCGAUCCCACACGCCGGUGUGUCUGCAGAGCAAGAGGAAACUAAGCCUGAGCUGGCAGAGUGUGCACCGCUGCAGUGGGAUAGUGAAGAGGAGCUUGCUGAAGAAGAGGUAAUGGAUGAGGACCUGCAAAGUGAUGACUCCCUGCCUGCAGGUGACACUGAGUACAGCCCUGAGUCCAAAUCAGAGACAGAUUCGCUUCCUUUUGAUUCAGAUGACAACUGGAGUCAAAACAGCAGCUACGUCAGGAAGCGUAAGGGUCAUCAUAGCAGAACCAGAGCAGCUAUUAAAUUGCCUCAUAUGACGUCUGCAAUAAAUCCUGAAAUGCCCACACUGAGUUCUGUUAAAUGUCCUCAUUGUGAUCUGGGCCCAUUUGUAUGUUUAAAACGCCAUUUGAGUGUCUGCUCUUCUAAGGAGAAAACAUUGAGUCGCCGCGGCCCGAUUGCAUGUGAUGAAGACCGGCCAGAGACGCAGCUUCAUGCUAACGCUAACCCUGUUGUAACCUGCAUGUCUUGUUGGCAGCCGUUCGCCAAUGUAGCUUUGCUCAAACAACACACAUGCCUGGCCACGCCCUCGGUGGCCCAGGGUCAGUCACAAGUUCCCACAGUUCCCUCUGUCACCCAGCCUUCUCCUUACCAAAUUAUCCGUGUCGUACCGACAUCCGUAAGCGCCGCCCCGACCCAGCAAACUAGCCGUAUGAGCCAGGCAGUGGCUGGUAAAAGGCCUUCCUCCCUUGUGUCUGCCAGCAAUGCUGUCAAGAUUAUUAAAAGACUGACUAAUCCAGCAGCCAACCUGGCAUCUCCAUCCACAACCUCGACGGUGCAUGGGGGCGGCAGGACUCAGGUGGUCCUCCCAAGGAAGGGGACGUUUGACCCUCAGGCAAAGUUGGUGACCGCACAGGUUCCACUGAGGUGCCCACAGGCUAACGCCCCAAAUUCAACAGCCGCUUUGGAGCUGAAAAACCUGUUGCUGCAAGGCGUGAUUAAGCCUCAAACGCUUGUCAGCACGUUGCAGUCCACUGUCCCUUCUUCUCUUUGUUUUAGUAAAGUUCCUCAAACGUCUACUGUUAUACACGUUCCCUCUCCUGCAAAGGUAGCUGCUCCUCUGAAUGUUUGCAAACCGGCGUCACUAGGGACCGCAUCCUCUCCUGUUGAUGUGAUAGUGACCUCUGCAACCAGAAACUCUGCCCCCACUGAUAAAUGGACCUUGCUGCCCACAGACCUUCGCCUUUUUGCCCCUUCUGUUAAGGCAGGACCUCAAGGACCUCAGGACCUUCUCAUUAAACCUCAAAGCUCCAGCAGCUUUCCCAGCAACACGCUAAGGUGGCAAUUAUUCGGUGCCAUCAGACCCCAAGUCAUCACCCCAGUUCCUGCGUCCUCACUUUGGAGAGGACCUGCUUUAGUCCCCUCUCCAUCAGUCCCAGACCUCAGUUGUCACAACGCUGCUCCAUUAAAAAUACUUGGGCUGUUUGUAAACCAAAGUAAGCAAGUGUCCCUUCAGCUGCGCCUGAAAAUGAACUGGCGUUCCAAGAUCGUGUACACGUGCCGCCAGUGUGGCGCGGUCUCCCGGCAGCCAUGUCUAGCUGUGCAGCACCGCUACCUCCAUCAAGGAGUACGCCCACACCGAUGCGCCUGUGGGAGAACGUUCCACCGGCAGCUGCACUUGCUGCGACACCAGGUCGUGCAUGCAGACACUGUACAUUACAUAUGCGCCACCUGCGGCAGGACGUUUCACGGUGCUCUGGCCCUAUCCAGACACAAGAAGGGCCCGGCAAGAAGAGGGCAGAAAAGGUUACGGAAGCAGUGCAUGGGCUCCUUCACCUGCAAGUGUGGGCUGAAGUUCUUAAGGCCGUCCUCCUUUCUGUGGCAUAAACUGAAAAAUGGAAAAAAUGGAUUACAUUCGACAAUGAAAAGUUUCAGACCAGGACACCAUGACUGAGGUUUUGGCCUAAAAAUGUUGUGUGUGGUCUGUAUGAACUGACUACUAUACUAAAAUACUGUACAUCGGCAAUACUGUACAAAAUACUGCCUUUUUAUCUUUUUUUUUUUUUUUUUUUUUGAUGAUGCUCAAAAAAUGAAAUCAAAAUAAAACGUUUUAAUUGUCUUAGGUUAUGUGCAUUGCCAUGUUGAGUCUUAUUUUUUAAGCAUUCAAAUUUAAUGCUUAAUGCAGUGGUGGCCUAGCUAGUAAGGAAGACACACAUGACAUGUCUUGUUCAACAACCAAUAGCUAGAUUUUCUUUGUGGUAAACUAAUGUUAUACUACUGAUUAUAAAACCAAAACUCCUAACAUUUGUUUUAGGCACUUCUAAUGUAUUCUUGCGGUUUAUGCCAUAUUGAAUGGUUUGUUUUUUUUCAUUUAAAAUGAGGGUGGGUGGGUGUAUGUGUGCUUAAAAAUAAAGACAUACACUUCAAUUUUUAGAUUUUAUAGACAAAAGUAUGUUCACAUUCACAGAUUUGAACAUGCUUCUGGAAUUAAAUUAAACAUAUUUGUCAACCGUUCACAAAACCAAAUUUCUCAUGUAAAUAGACUUUCAGCUAAUAGCAUUUGAAUUUAAAACAAAGAAUGUCUAAAGGGUCUGCAUAUAUGGACUUUAUGAAUGUAGUCUUCAGAGACAUCCACAUGAAUGUCAGGUGGAUUUGUUCUUUCACUUUUUGCAUGCGUGAGUUUUGUCUUCAUUUUCUGAUAUAUCCCCACCCACUAGAGUGCACUGUAGGUCUUCCUGAUGUCCCACACCAUCUCAAACUGUAAACUGAGAUUUUAAUACACCAAUGUUCUCAAAUUGCUCUGUAAUUAACUUAACACAAAUGAAGCAGCCACAGUUCGCUGUAAUAUGGUGUAAUAUUCUCAGUCUUAAGUGAUUUUAGCAUAGUUGUUAUAUAUGAGACACAUAUCUCAUCUUAAUUAUUAGAUUGUUUAGAUUGUUUGUUCUUUUAACCAAAAGGACUGUGACAUUAUGGUACUGUGAAGGAGCAUUUGAGAACAAAUGGCCACUCAAAAACAAAGCAUGAAAAGUGGAUGUGAGCCAAAAUAGUUUGUUCCACCUUCUUUUGCAGCUUCCAUGAAGUUACUGACUGUGUCUGUAACUGGGGGAAGCGUUUCCUCUAAACCGUGUGUGGUUGCUGCUGUCAAACCUAAGCUUAAUAGUUUCUUUUCUUAAAGCCGUUUUUUUCCCCUCAUCGAGUCAUAAAUAAUUUUCUUCCUUCUGUUGUUUUAGCCAAGGACAGUCAUCUGUUGCUUUCACAGUAUUCUCCCUUGUGCAUCGUUCAUGCUGUCCAUUAAGCACGGAGGCUUCAAUAGGGAUGUCUUCCAGUUCUGCAGCAUUCCAGAUGGUGCAGUUAUGGGAAUGAGGGCUCUGAAAUCUGGCACAGAAAAUCCACUGAAAAUAUCAGCCAAAGUGGGUUCCAAAAGUGAAAAUCACCUGUUGAUGAGAAAUGAAAAUUAUGAGCAGUGAUCAUCAGUGCUUGGCUCAAGGAAUACAAUAAAAUAUUUUCAGUUUAAGUUCUACAGAAGAAAUUUCAUUUAUUUUCUUCCCCUAAAUAAUGCAGUGAUGCAUUAUUUGUAUGUACCCUCAUUUAACACACUUGAUUCAGCCUCUCUACUGAUUGCCACCCAGAUCUUAAGCUGAAUCAGGUCUGGUGGAACAUGGAAAGAACCAAGCUGUGCAGGGAUAGUGCCCUCCAGGGCCAUGGUUGGUGACCCCUGAUGUAGACCUUAAACAGAAUGUUAAUAAUUGCUUUGAUGAUUUGCAUUACCUGUGGUCUAGGCCACGAAUUCGCACUACUUGGGCUAGCAGCUCAGAGGAGUGCUGGAAGCACCGAUUCAGCUCAUCCAGCUUCUGUUCCAUAGAGAUGAUGCGCUGUUCCAGCUCCCGGUAGGAGUUGUUCCAGUUGGCGCUCAGGUCACACAUAAUCAUCUGCAUCUGUUGACACACCAUGCAAAGAGAGGGUUUCCUCACAGCACCUACACAUCAGUUCUAACUCUGUAUGUAAUUAAUUAUAUAUGUCAGCAUGUUGUAAAGAAUUUGUCUUGAUAAUUUGAUUUCUACCUUUGGUAGAUCCACCAUCUCGCUAGCGUAGUCUCUAAGCUUUCUUUGCUUGAGGCGCAGGUGUCGAAAACUGUUGUCCAUACACAGAAUCAAAGUGUUUAAGGGCUUAUAUAUCAGAACAUAUAGUGUUGUGUUGAUCACUCAUCUGAAUAUUGAAGAAAAGAUUUUUGGGACUGAGUUUUGUGUAUCAAAAAAAUCCCGAGCACAGAACAGAAUUAAGCAAUAAUUCAAUAAGAUGAAUGUUGUACAGUGACCCAGUCUCAGACACAGUCCUCUCCUCAUUCUUCCAAACAGAGAAAAAUAUACACAGUGACUUCUGGGUCUGUCACCAACUACCUGAAGUCCUUUAUAAAGGCUCUAUCCAGACUACCAUGGAAUGUAGUCUGGCAAUGCCAAAUCUACAUACAAAGCUUCAAGAGUCUCGUGAAGAAACAUCUUCCUCGCAACCAUCUUGUACAUCCUCAUACUAACUAAGACUUAUUUUCAAUUUCAACUUCACUUAGUUAAGUUAAAGUUAUUGCUUUUGUGUAUAAUGCUUUGGGAUAAAAGUGGCAGCUAAAUUUCACAACUCGCUGUCCAUGACUGCUUACUCCCAACAAGGGGAUGCAGCUGCCCAUCCCAGGACCAGGGUGGGGCCACAGCCCACCACAGGGCACACACACACACACACCCUAUUUUAAACUAUUUUUGCAAAAUAUCUUCAAUUUGCUGACAGCACAACAGCACAAUUGAAUAUUUGGAAUCAAGAGGAAUCAGCAAGUUCUAAAGCUGACAAAAUCUGGGCACAGAGCAUUACAUUGGCAAUAAUAUAGCAAUAACAACCAAAUUCUCCUUCACGUAUCUCACACACAUUAACCAUUCAGCUGUUCAGCUUCCUACCAUUUGCUAGCUCAUUAUGCCUGCUAGCACUUCAUCGCUCUGCACCAUCAUUCCUAAUGUAUCUGAUGUGUCUGUCUUUUUUGUUGUCUAUGUGUUUUAAUUGAUGUUACUCUUGUUACUCUUACACUCGCUGUCUUGCACUGCUUGUGUCCCAUGUUUUUGCACUUUAUGUAGCCCGGUUUGCUGAUGUAACACACAUGCCCUCUAUGUCAGUAUGUAACUUUGCUUAAAUGUUACAUGUAGCACCAGGUUCCGGAGAAACGUUGUGUAUUUAGCUGAAAUGACAAUAAAGCUCAACUUGAACUUGAACUUGAUUCAUGCAUCAGCUUAUUACUUCUGGGCUGUUUAUGAGACCAUGCCAGUUCCGCACCUAGUCCAGCAAUCAGCCAUGAAAGGAAGUGAACACUUAUAAACAAGAAGGAACAUUCAAGGGGAAAACUAAGACAGAAGUGGACCCUAUAAGAUGUGUCUAGUUCACUUCCCAUUCUCUUUCUGUCUUCUCAUCAAAUGUACAAAAAUCCCAGUCAGACUAGCCAUGGGAAAACCCCUUUGUGUGUGAAACAGUUGAAUCAAGGAUAAUUCAGGUUGACAACUAUUAUUUGAAACAAAGCAUUUCUUAAACGCACUCAUAAAUGGAUUUGUGGUAACCUAGACAUUUUCAUUUCCUGACAACACAGUGGGUUUGGACAACACAGUGCUGAACGUACAUGACAGUGCGUGCCUUUCAUGCACUUUCAUGCCGUGUCAGAUAAUUGCAUCAUUUGAAUUGGGCAAAAGUCAAAUUCUUAGCAUUGUUCAUUCUGAAUUCCAGAGUGCAAGGGGUUUUGUCCUUAUCUUAGACAAUGCAUAGACAAACUGAAUUUCAUGUUAGAAAAAGGGCAUGGUGUCUGAAUUUUACAACAGAUAACAGUAGCUCUUCUUAAUAGAAAGAACAGGAUGGAUACAUGCUGUUGUAAACACAGCCAAAACUGAGCGGCAGAGGGAAGGAAACGUUUUUCAUACAGACCUUGGGGCUGUUGUGACGUGUCUACGGUGGACCAACACCAGGAAAACACACACACACACACAUACACCGCCUUGCAUGUCCCUGGCUGUUUGUGACUCACACACGGAUGGCCUCCAGCAGGCAUCUCUGGUGAUGCCGGUGUUCUCCACUGUCACAUUUGGUCAUGUUGGUUCGAUGGAGCAGCCAGCACUCCCUCAGCACAUUUGCUGCAGCGUGUCUUAUCUGUAGAAUGGAAAGAGUGGUCAGAACAACAUUUCAAAAAUUCACAGCAGUGUGAGAAAGAAGUGUAUAUGUCAAAGUUCAAUCGAAUCCAGUCACAGACAGCUUGACAUUGAGCAAAGUGGAAUACUGAAACCUGUUAUUACCUGUUAUUAACAGAAUGAAACUGUAAUCAUGCUUCCAGGAAUAAUGUCUUAGGCUAAGAAUAGUCACACAUGAACGUAGGAUACAGACUCGACAGCUUUUUAUGUGCUUUGCUUCUACUUGCACGACUGACAGAGAUAUUGUUUGCUCAUGCUGAUGUCACCGCUUCUAUUCUUGGUGUGGAUGGCUAUUACUGGAAUCCGUACAGUCCCAGAUGGUCUCUUUUAUUACAGUCAGCAAAAAUCUGUCAGCUAUGGCCAAUUCGUCAAUCAACAUGUCUGAAUGUACACAAAGAAUAACUGCCAUUCAUAUUGCCAUACACCCACUGACAGAAACAGUGACUCGGCAUUAUUGCCAAAGAGAACGAAGCAACCGCUUAACAACCCAUCUGACAGGCUGGAAGAUGGUGGGAAACUACCCAACUUAACCAGUCUAGUGCCACGAGAAGCACUCAUUUUGUUUCUAUUUAAACCAGUGGAAACACUUAUAGAAUCUGCCGCCACACACAUUUAUUUCAGGCGUUUCCCCCUGAUAAGCAAACAGAUGGAUCCUGUUGAGGAUUGCGGAACAGCACCAAUACACCUCAGUCUGAACCCCCCCUACACCCACCAUAUGUAAAGUCUUCCAAUUCCUGUAUCACACGU